Theobroma cacao (cacao) is the source of this 252-nucleotide non-coding RNA. NCBI's taxonomy places the organism in Eukaryota, Viridiplantae, Streptophyta, Magnoliopsida, Malvales, Malvaceae. The record is from RefSeq and is a predicted model, not a curated record.
UUCAAGUAAUCAAGUAAUCAAGCAAUCAAAGGUGGUGAAUCCUCCGAUAAGGGCAAAGAAAUUAUACCCGAGGAUUGAUAAUCGGAGUACUCCAAAAAUUUCACUCCUGAAAUAGCUCAAGACAGUCAGUAAAUAGCUGAUUACGUCGAGGGUUAUUAUUGGACUCGCCUCCUCAGAAAUUGUAGGUCCAUAGCCUUUGUUACCUUUGGUCAUUCGGGGACCCACACGUCAUUGUAAAUUAAAUUACAUACU